Molecule: ribosomal RNA, 497 nt
Filed under: uncultured bacterium
Lineage: Bacteria
Description: partial 16S ribosomal RNA
Rfam family: Bacterial small subunit ribosomal RNA
Source: RNAcentral
GAUGAACGCUGGCGGCGUGCCUAAUACAUGCAAGUCGAGCGAACAUACGAGAAGCUUGCUCCUCUGACGUUAGCGGCGGACGGGUGAGUAACACGUGGAUAACCUACCUGUAAGACUGGGAUAACGUCGGGAAACCGGGGCUAAUACCGGAUAAUAUUUUGAACGGCAGGGGUAAAUAGUGAAAGACGGUUUUGCUGUCACUUAUAGAUGGAUCCGCGCCGCAUUAGCUAGUUGGUAAGGUAACGGCUUACCAAGGCAACGAUGCGUAGCCGACCUGAGAGGGUGAUGGGCAAAAUUGGAACUGAGAAACGGUCAAGCCUCCAACGGGAGGAAGAAGAAGGGAAUCUUCGGCAAUGGGCGAAGGCUUGACGGAGAAAGGCCGCGUGAGUGAGGAAGCUUUUCGGAUCGAAAAACUCUGUUCUUAGGGAGGAAAAAAUCUGUAAGUACAGAUGGACGUCUUGACGGUACCCAGCCAGAAAGCCACGGCUAACUACGUG